UCCCUGACGGUCCAGUGGUUAGGACUUAGCACUUUCAAUGAGGGGGCCCAAGUUCAACCCUGGUCAGGGAA
This 71-nucleotide transfer RNA is filed under the name Ovis aries (sheep). It matches the Rfam family "tRNA". Rfam says of the family: Transfer RNA (tRNA) molecules are approximately 80 nucleotides in length. The record is from Rfam by way of RNAcentral. Lineage: Eukaryota; Metazoa; Chordata; Mammalia; Artiodactyla; Bovidae.